CCUACGGGUGACAGCAGUGAGGAAUAUUGGUCAAUGGACGCAAGUCUGAACCAGCAACGCCGCGUGAAGGAAGACGGCUCUCUGAGUUUUAACUUGUUUUUGUACGAGGGAAAAUCCCGCUAUGUCUCUUGGGUUGACCGCAUCUAACGAAUUAGGAUCGGCCAACGCCGUGCGAGCAGCCGCGGUAAUACGGAGGUUUCAAGCGUUAUCCGGAUUUAAUGGGUUUAAUGGGUGCGAAGGCGGGUCGGUAAGUUAGAGGUGAAAUCCCUGGGCUCAACUCCGGCACUGCUUCUGAUACUGUCGAGCUAGAGUAUAGGAGCGGUAGGCGGAAUUUAUGGUGUAGCGGUGAAAUGCGUAGAGAUCAUGCAGAACACCGAUUGCGAAGGCGGCUUACCAGACGACGACUGACGUUGAGGCGCGAAAGCGUGGGGAGCAAACAGGAUUAGAUACCCUUGUAGUC
RNAcentral lists this ribosomal RNA (460 nucleotides) under uncultured bacterium. RNAcentral's name for it is "partial 16S ribosomal RNA". It matches the Rfam family "Bacterial small subunit ribosomal RNA", at positions 338 to 795 of the family's 1533-position model. The record is from RNAcentral.